RNAcentral lists this transfer RNA (65 nucleotides) under Rhagoletis cornivora. RNAcentral describes it as "tRNA-Leu". The record is from RNAcentral. Lineage: Eukaryota; Metazoa; Arthropoda; Insecta; Diptera; Tephritidae.
ACUGUUUUGGCAGAUUAGUGCAAUAAAUUUAGAAUUUAUUUAUGUAAUUUAUAUUACAAGUAGUA